Podarcis lilfordi (Lilford's wall lizard) is the source of this 75-nucleotide non-coding RNA. The record is from the annotation of a GenBank genome assembly. Lineage: Eukaryota; Metazoa; Chordata; Lepidosauria; Squamata; Lacertidae.
CCAUAGCUCAAUGGUAGAGUUUCUGCGUGGCGUGCGGAAGCUUCCGGGUUCAAUCCCCAGAAUCUCCAGGCAGGG